This 1502-nucleotide ribosomal RNA is filed under the name uncultured bacterium. Its description in RNAcentral is "16S ribosomal RNA". It matches the Rfam family "Bacterial small subunit ribosomal RNA". The record is from RNAcentral.
AGAGUUUGAUCCUGGCUCAGAUUGAACGCUGGCGGCAGGCCUAACACAUGCAAGUCGAGCGGUAGCACAGAGAGCUUGCUCUCGGGUGACGAGCGGCGGACGGGUGAGUAAUGUCUGGGAAACUGCCUGAUGGAGGGGGAUAACUACUGGAAACGGUAGCUAAUACCGCAUAACGUCGCAAGACCAAAGUGGGGGACCUUCGGGCCUCAUGCCAUCAGAUGUGCCCAGAUGGGAUUAGCUAGUAGGUGGGGUAAUGGCUCACCUAGGCGACGAUCCCUAGCUGGUCUGAGAGGAUGACCAGCCACACUGGAACUGAGACACGGUCCAGACUCCUACGGGAGGCAGCAGUGGGGAAUAUUGCACAAUGGGCGCAAGCCUGAUGCAGCCAUGCCGCGUGUAUGAAGAAGGCCUUCGGGUUGUAAAGUACUUUCAGCGAGGAGGAAGGCGUUAAGGUUAAUAACCUUGGCGAUUGACGUUACUCGCAGAAGAAGCACCGGCUAACUCCGUGCCAGCAGCCGCGGUAAUACGGAGGGUGCAAGCGUUAAUCGGAAUUACUGGGCGUAAAGCGCACGCAGGCGGUCUGUCAAGUCGGAUGUGAAAUCCCCGGGCUCAACCUGGGAACUGCAUUCGAAACUGGCAGGCUAGAGUCUUGUAGAGGGGGGUAGAAUUCCAGGUGUAGCGGUGAAAUGCGUAGAGAUCUGGAGGAAUACCGGUGGCGAAGGCGGCCCCCUGGACAAAGACUGACGCUCAGGUGCGAAAGCGUGGGGAGCAAACAGGAUUAGAUACCCUGGUAGUCCACGCCGUAAACGAUGUCGACUUGGAGGUUGUGCCCUUGAGGCGUGGCUUCCGGAGCUAACGCGUUAAGUUGACCGCCUGGGGAGUACGGCCGCAAGGUUAAAACUCAAAUGAAUUGACGGGGGCCCGCACAAGCGGUGGAGCAUGUGGUUUAAUUCGAUGCAACGCGAAGAACCUUACCUACUCUUGACAUCCAGAGAACUUAGCAGAGAUGCUUUGGUGCCUUCGGGAACUCUGAGACAGGUGCUGCAUGGCUGUCGUCAGCUCGUGUUGUGAAAUGUUGGGUUAAGUCCCGCAACGAGCGCAACCCUUAUCCUUUGUUGCCAGCGAUUCGGUCGGGAACUCAAAGGAGACUGCCAGUGAUAAACUGGAGGAAGGUGGGGAUGACGUCAAGUCAUCAUGGCCCUUACGAGUAGGGCUACACACGUGCUACAAUGGCAUAUACAAAGAGAAGCGACCUCGCGAGAGCAAGCGGACCUCAUAAAGUAUGUCGUAGUCCGGAUUGGAGUCUGCAACUCGACUCCAUGAAGUCGGAAUCGCUAGUAAUCGUAGAUCAGAAUGCUACGGUGAAUACGUUCCCGGGCCUUGUACACACCGCCCGUCACACCAUGGGAGUGGGUUGCAAAAGAAGUAGGUAGCUUAACCUUCGGGAGGGCGCUUACCACUUUGUGAUUCAUGACUGGGGUGAGGUCGUAACAAGGUAGCCG